GAGAGGAGGGAGGCGAGGCGCAGAUCUCGUGCCGCCGCGGCCUCGCGGGAGAGAGGGCGGGGCCGGGCGCGGACGCAGCCGGCCCUUGUCAGGUGACCCUGCUUUGGGAAUUUCUUAGUUUGAGGAAUUCCUCUGGGCUCUGCCACCCAGCAAGUUAAAGAAGACAAGAUUCCUCCCAGGGGGUUGUGGUUCUGGGAAUGUGAACAGCUUGUUUUCAUGAGAUCUGUACCCUGAUCUGGCUUACUGUUAGGAGCUGCAGUAGUGAAGUUGGUUGUGUUUUGUUAGUUGUUUUUUUCUAGCAUACAUACAUAUUUUUGUAAGUUACUUGCAUAUAAAGGUUGUUGAAAAGCAAAAGUUUUAUGCAGAUGUUUAGUUACUCGAAGAAAAAUGAAAACUAUAUGAAGUAAUUAUUCAUAUGUUAUAGUUUUCUAAAAGAAGCAAAAGUAUUAAUUGAUGCUGUUGUCUGGGAAGAAAAUGAAGACCAGAAAAUGACCAUGCUCUUAGGGUUUGAAAAUAAAGUAAUAUUGUUCUCUGUUUGAAGGGAGCCUUCUAAGGAGUUACCACGGUCUCAUACACCAUCAACUUAAAUGCAUUCUUUAUCUUUAAAAGGAAGCAGAAUAGAAUCAUUGAGUAAAUCACAUGUGUUCACAGUCUUGUCUGGUGUAAUCGUAUACUACACAAACACAUUAUUCUGUUGUCAGGAGGGUAAGGGGACCUCUGAAGCAGGACUUGCCCUUGAGGAGACCUUUUUCUGUUUAAAGAAUAGUGCAGUGAAAGACCACACAGUAAAAGAUAACAGGAAAGAUCUCCCAGGCCUUCCCCCACCUUUGUACUUUCUCAUUCUCCUUUGUUCUCUAAGGACAUCUGUUGUAAUGAUUAUUCUGGUUAACUCAUAGGUACAUAGCAGAAGGCGUAUCAUAUUUCAUUUAUUAUUUUGUCUACUAUAAUUAUUGCUCUCUUAUAUCAUACCACUGUGGGCUUGUAAAAUAUUUUGUUUUUGAAAGUAUGUUAAAGAAAUGUAUUAAUUAAAAAAAAAAGAAAUAUGUUAAUUGGCUAUAGAUAUCUAAAGAGUAAAUGUUUUAACUCUGAAUUUAAUAAAAUUAUGUCUUAGGAAGACUAAUAGUCUUCUAUUAAGCUACAUCCUGAAGAGUUAAAUAUACAAAAAAGAUAUUUGAAAAUAUAAUUUUUCCUAUUUAUGUUAAUUACAGUGGACUUUUAGAUACUUUAAAAUAAAGUGAAAAUAUAUAAAGAUGGUCACUGUUGAGAUGUUUUAUUUGAAAAGUUGAUUAGAGUAUGUAUUUUGCUUAAGCUUCUGAAAGUUCUAUUUGGUAGUUAAAUCAUAUAUCAGAGUGACAAUUAAAGCAAAGUAAAAUCGAAAAUGGAAUAAUCUUUUCAGAAAUGUACAAAAGAUCCUUCAUUUACACCCAACUUUGAAAGGAGACCUGCCUCAAUUCAGUUCUGUUUUAUGUUGUAUAAUGAUUUUUUUUAAUGUCAUACUUGGGUAUUUGAAAGACACUCUUAAUUAAGAACAGCAAUGAUGUAAGAUUUCGGAAUAUCUAAAAUGGAUGCAUUAUUUCAAAUGUUUUCAACAUUUUGAUAGUUGACUUGCUGUGUACAUUGUUGCAAUUCAGAAUUCAAGUUUUUGCCUUUUGUUAGAACUUCUUUCAUUGCCACUCAAUUUUGUCCUAGGUUGAUCCCUUGGAGACUUUUUUUUUUUUAAUUCUCUGCAUUUUCCCCCAGAAACCUUUUAUUUAAGGAAUACAAACUUAAUAAUUUCAUAAUUACAACUUUAGGAACAUGGUACCAUUUCUUCCCACCGUACCUGCCCUCCCACCCCACCUCCUUCUCCCCUUGAGGAUUUUUCAAAUUUAUGUUUGAAGAGUUUUUUUAACCUCUUUGUUAUACAAAAAAAUUAAACUUUUUAUAUAAAAGUAAAGCUCAUAGUAUGGUGAACCCCCAACUUAAGUUUGUACUUUUAGUUACAUAUUAGCACAGGUAUUAUUAUUAUGCAACAAGUGUUCAAGAACUUAAGAAAUAUUUGUACUGAGUGCACAUUUGAAAGAAGUUAUGUAAAUCAAACUUUUAAAAAUAUCCAGCCAUUUCUGAACCUAUUACAGGUUGUAUUUCAACUUUUGGACCUACAAACAUUUCUCAUAGAAACAAUCUAAAAAUGGCUCCAGAGGAACUUCAAAAAGCUCAUACAAAAUACAUUGAAAUAAUGCAGGGGCAUGUGUUGCAGCACAGCAGGUUAAGUCACCACAUGGGAUGUCCACAUCCUAUAUCAGAGUGCAGUUCAAGUGCAGACUACUCUGCUUCCCGUCCAACUUUCUGCUUGUGCACUUGGGAAGGCAGUAGAUGAUAACCCAAUUAUUUGGGUCCCUGCCACCCACAUGGAAGACCCAGAGGAGUAUGGGGCUCCUGGCUUCUGCCUGGCCUAGCCCUGGAUGUUGUAGGUAUUUGGGGAAUGAACCAGCAGAUGGAAAACCUCUCUCUUUCUUUCUCACUCUGCCUUUCAAAUAAAUAAAUCUUUUAAAAUAAAAUGCACAUUUCCAUUGACUUUUAAAUAAGUAUUUAACAGGCAGAAAGACAGCUCCCACCCACUGGUUCACUAUCCCAAUGCCUACCACUGCAGUGCUGGGCUGGAACCAAAACCAGGAGCUGGAACACAGUCCAGGUCUCCCACAUGAACAGCAGGAACCCAGUUACUUGAGCCAUCACAGUUGCCUUCCCGGGUCUGUAUUAGGAGGAUGCUGGAACCAAGAUCUCCAGUUAGGGGUGAGGUCCUCACACUCCUAUCUGGAAUGUGAAUAUAUUAACACUAGGCUAAGUGCUGGCUCCUCCAGGAACUUUUUAAGCCCCUCAUACUGGCUUUUUAGACCAACUCUCAGUAACUUGCUUAUUAAUUCAUCACAGUUAAGGGUCACCUACCCACCAUGAUAUAUAUCCUUUUAACGAGAAGAUGCUUCCUUUGCUAUUGGACUUCUAGGGAGCACUGCUACUCAUCUUUUUGUACUGAGAAUGGCAGGUUGUGAAUGUGGGAGUCAAGCUCUUCUAUAACAGGGAUCACGUCUGUCGUGGGUCCUUAAUUCUCUCAGCAAAAGUAGCAGGAAUCCAGUGGAGACAAUAGUGGGGUGGGGGAUGUACUCAGUAUACACCACUCUGAAAUUAUGUACCACUUCCUCUACUGGCCUCAAAGAACAGAAAGGAAAACUUCCUUUAUGAAAUAAACUACUCUAUGAUGUUCUAAAGUUCACAUUUUACAGACUUUUUUAAAGUGUUCUUCUGAUUCUUCUGUUUUUUAAUAUUUAUUUAUUUAUUUGAAAGGCAGAGUUACAGAGAGAGUAACUCUCCAUUGCUUCCAAAAUGGCCACAAUGGGCUGAGGCUGGGCCAAGCUGAAGCCAGGAACCCAGAACUCCACCCAGGUCUCCCACAGGGUGACAGGGACCCAAGUACUUGGGCCAUCUUUCACUGCUUUUCCAGGCACAUUAACAGGGAGCUGGAUCAAAAGUAGAGCAGCUAGGACUCAAACCAGCAGUCGGAAGGUGGCAUCAGAGGCUGUGGCUUAACCCCAUUGCACUAUAUCUCCAACCCUCUGACUAUUUUCUUCUUUGACAUAGGGGAACAAUCAUUGUCGCUAACUAAGACAUGCCUAACACAACAACAACAAAAAAAGUUUCCUGACUGUUAAAACAUAAAAUUGGAACAUAAAGAUAGUAAACUGUCAAGAAGCUAAAACCAGGUUGUUGUAAUAAUGCUUAUAAGGAACCUGUAAGUACUGUGACCUUAUAGAGUGUCUGGGAGGGACAGAUGGAAGCAGAAGGAUGAGCUUCACUGCUUUUGUCAUGCCAACAUACUCUCUCUCUUUCUCCAAAUAGAACUUAGGGACAGGCAUUUGGUCUAGUGGUUAAGACUCCAGUUAAGAUGCCCAGAUCACACAUCAGAGUACCUGAGUCUGAUACUCUGCUUUGACUCCUGAUUGCAUUUCCUGCUAAUGUAAGCCCUGGGAGACAAAGGUGAUGAUGACUCAAGUGGUUGAGCUCCUGCCACCCACUUGGGAGACCUGGCUCCCACUUGCCCCUGCCACUGGUUGGGGGCAAAUGAAUUAGGGAAUGGGAGCUGUCUCCCUCUCUCUCAAAUAAACAAAUAAAAUCAAACAUAAGUUCCAAAUCCUUCUUUGAGCAAGACUUUUACUAAGAACUGAGUCAUAAAUUACUCUUCAUCUACAUACAUAUAAAAUCAGAAGUGUAAUACAAUAAGUUCUUCAAGGAUUCAGCAAAGAGACAAAAUCCAUAACAGGAAGAUAACUAAAAAGAAGGCCAGCUCAGAACUAAAGAUCUUAAAUAUUACCAUGUGACCCUUAGCCAGUGACUUCAAACUUCCCAGAAAUGAAUAGUAGAAAUAAAUCAUCUCAUUGUGGCACAGCAGUUGCACCACUGGCAUCCCAUAUUGGAGCGCCAGUUCAGAUCCCUCUACUCCACUUCUGAUUCAACUUCCUGCUAAUGUGCCUGGGAAGGCAGUGGAUGAUGGCCCAAGUACUUGAACCCCUGUCACCCAUGUGGAAGACUAAUAUGAAAUUCCUGGCUUCUAGCUUCAGCCUGGCCCAGUCCUGGCUAUUGCAGGUAUUUGGAGAGUGAACCAGCAGAUGGAAGAUCUCGCCUCUCUCUCUCCUCUCCCCUCCCUCCUCCCUCUCCCUCUGCCUUUCAAAUAAAUAAAUCUUUUUUUUUUUUUUUUAAAGGGCCACUAAGCUCACUAGGCUAGUCCUCCACCUUGUGGCGCCGGCACACCAGGUUCUAGUCCCGGUCAGGGCGCCAGAUUCUGUCUCGGUUGCCCCUCUUCCAGGCCAGCUCCCUGCUGUGGCCAGGGA
Oryctolagus cuniculus (rabbit) is the source of this 4865-nucleotide non-coding RNA. Lineage: Eukaryota; Metazoa; Chordata; Mammalia; Lagomorpha; Leporidae. The record is from RefSeq and is a predicted model, not a curated record.